UUAAUCGGAAUUACUGGGCGUAAAGCGUGCGCAGGCGGUUUUGUAAGCCAGAUGUGAAAUCCCCGGGCUUAACCUGGGAAUGGCAUUUGGGACUGCAAGGCUGGAGUGUGGCAGAGGAGACUGGAAUUCCCGGUGUAGCAGUGAAAUGCGUAGAUAUCGGGAGGAAUACCGAUGGCGAAGGCAGGUCUCUGGGCUGACACUGACGCUCAUGCACGAAAGCGUGGGGAGCAAACAGG
RNAcentral lists this ribosomal RNA (236 nucleotides) under uncultured bacterium. Its description in RNAcentral is "partial 16S ribosomal RNA". It matches the Rfam family "Bacterial small subunit ribosomal RNA", at positions 541 to 776 of the family's 1533-position model. The record is from RNAcentral.